Molecule: long non-coding RNA, 5144 nt
Filed under: Nicotiana tabacum (common tobacco)
Lineage: Eukaryota; Viridiplantae; Streptophyta; Magnoliopsida; Solanales; Solanaceae
Description: long non-coding RNA (NTAB_LNC015448)
Source: RNAcentral
AAUUAUUUCAAAUGACGACUCUGAUUAAAUCGAUUAAUGUCACUUUAAUUAGAAAAACUCCAGUAUUCCUCGUGAAAAAAAAGGAGGUGUAACAAUCUUACACACACAACACAUAAAGGGAGGGACCUAAUCCCAAAAAAGAAGACCGCUAACAGCGCCUCCCCCUUCACAUCUUCUCCAUCUUCUUCCUCUCAAAAUUAAAAAGACAUACUCACACACGCACAGACAGAAACAGAGAAAAGAACGGAAUUCCUCCAAGAGCCGCCCAAGUCCCUUUCCCCAUCUCUCCAGCUCUCGCCCUUUCCAUGGUUGCCGUUGCCUGAGGUGAUGACCGGCGACGACCAUGACUGUUGCUGUUGCACCUAGCUAUUGCUUCUGUCCCUUUUCCCCCUCUACUGUCACUGUUUCGCCGGAGUCGCACCAUCAACGGCAAACGAGCAGAAAAUCGGCGAUAGUCGUCCAAACUGGUUGGUUUCAACUAUUUUUUUUUAUUUUAAAAACUAAACAAAGCUGAAAUCUGUUUCUGCUGAGUUGUAUCGAAAUUGGGGCGUUGAAGUCAUUUGAGGUCGUAGUCUAUGGUUUCCGGGCAGAUUCGCGGUUCCGUCGAGUUAGUCGGUAAAUUUUCCGGUCGAGAGCCGUCCAGCUAUUAAGCCUUUGUAAUUUCAACUCAGUUCAUUUAUACCAAAGGUCAAAUUCUCGUCCCUUUCUUCCUUCUUUUCUUUACAAAGAUCUCUUUUCUAAUUGAUGAGAUUCUUGGUAUUGUUGGUUGCAUACUGAUUUGCUUGAUGCGUUGUUUGGAUGCUAAUAUUAUAGUGGUUAUUUUAUUUCUCUGUUGCAAUGUUUCUUUAGAUAGUGAUGUUUGGAUUUUAAUUAUUUAUUUUGAGCUUCUAAUCUAAUAAGAUAGAAUUGAAUAUGCUUGUCUUUAUUUAUUUUAUUUUAUUUUGAUUGAAAGGGACUUUGCAGGUUCUAAUUGAGAAGUUUUAGUUUAGCAACUUGUUAAUGGAUUGCACUGAGCAAUAUGGCAAAUAAACUAUCUGAAUUCUUGGUUAAUAGCUACAAAAUGACUUUUAGCCUGUUAAUGACCUGUAAUAUAGAUAACUUUAUCAAGUAUAAUAGCUACUACGUAAUACAUUUCUCCCACAAUAAUUUCAUAGCUUUGGCCUCGCAAUAAUUUCAAAAGUUUAGGAAGAAUAAUGAACAACGUUAGAGUGCUUUAGGUACACUUUUAAUUGAAUUAUCGUGAUUAUAUAUACGUUCACGUGACAUAAUUAUGAUUCCCAAAAUAAAUCAAGGUACGCAUUCGCGCGACUUUGAUCAAACAAUCUUAGUAAUUAAUUAAGUGUUAUGGAUUGUGUACACGUACGCGUGACACGAUUUUGACACCCGAACAAAAUGGGUACACGUACGCGUGAUUCAUUUCGAGAUAAUUCCAUAAGGCCAUAAUCAAGUAAUUAAAAGCGGUAAAAGGUAAAAUGUACAUAGGUUCUAAAACACGUAAUUAAACAAUUUAAUUAAGCCAUGUAUGAUUAAAGCGACCGUGCUAAAACUACGGAACCCGGGAAUGCCUAACACAUUCUUUCGGGUUAACAGAAUUCCUUAUCCGGUCUUCUGUGUUCGCAGACUUUAAAACAGAGUCAAAUUUCCUCGAUUUGAGAUUUAAAAUAAACCGGUGACUUGGGACAUCAUAAAAUUAUUUCAAGUGGUGACUCUAAUUAAUUAAGUAAUCCUAUUUCGAAUAAUAUCACUUUAAUUGGAAAAACUCUCCUAUCCCCUCGGGAAAGAGGAGGUGUGACACCAGAUAUUGAAACUAACAUAUCUCCUUCAUUAAAAGGACAAAUGGAGUGAUUCAAAAGCAUAACUUGACACGAAUUUCACGUGGAAUCCAUUGGAGGCAUUAAAAGCGAGUUUCGGUAUCGUUUGACAUAAGAAACGAGGCAUAACAGAUGGACAUUUUUGGCUAUUAAUGAUUGUUGGAGUUUUUCUCAUCUUGAAAAUUUGGGAUUGGGAGAAUUCAAGGAUGUUCUUCAAGUUUCUUCCAUUGGGUAAGGUAUAAACCAUAACCUAAGUAUUUUUCUUUGAUUCAUUCCCUUGGGUUAAGCUUUAAUCCAUGAUUCUAAUUGAAAACCAACUUAAUUCUUUAAAUCAUGACCUAAGGUUAUGUCCUAAAUUUUAAAAAUUGAAAAUGAGUUAGAGGCGUUUAUUUUUUGAUUCCUUUUGGGGUCUUGUUCUCCUAUAUUAGGAGAACAACAAACUCGAAUUUGGCGAGUUUUGGAGAAGUAUUUCGGGAGAUAUGAGACCCAACUAAUGUGGGUUGGACUCUUGGGUUAUGAACACCCAAGAGUAAUAAUUUUUGCAAAUUGGUUGCGCUAUCGGACUCCGAUUGAGCCGGUUUUUGUUUGUGUGAGCUUGUAUUGGUUCGGGCUUCGCUCGAGUAACCAUGGAUUCGGAAUUCAAGGCGGCACCAACGUUGACUUUUGUUGACUUUUUGGAGAUUAUAUAAAGAUCAUAGCUUCAUUUAUGUAAUUGGUUUCUCUUGCACUGUUUGAUGUUAUUAAGUCAUUUUUUAUUAGAUUUGAGCCGUGUGGAGGCGAAUUUUAGGAGAAAAACUAUUUUGAAAGGUUGAGUUGGCCUAGUUGAGGUAAGUAUCUUGCCUAAUUUUGUAUGGGGGAAACUACCCUCUAGGAUUUGGGUUGAUUGUGCUAUUUGUUUAAUGUGAAAGCCGUGUACGUAAGGUGACGAGCGAGUACACGGGCUAUAUGUGGUAUUUGAUAGAUUUAGAUUAUCUAGACUAUUUUCAUGCUUUUAAUUGAAUUGUCAUAACAUGUUAUAUCUCUCAUUGUUAAUUUACUCUUACAUGCUCUAAUUGACGUUGUUAGCACUUGUUCUACCUCUUACUUGUUAUUUUGCUCUUAUAUGUUUUAGUUGAAGUUAUUGCUUUCAUUAUUGUCUUGUUACCUCUUAAUUGUUGAAUCACUUUUAAUUGAAGUUAUUAUUUCAAGGAAUAUCAUCUUGUUGAGUUAUUGGUGUUGAGGUUGUAAUAGCCGUUAUCACAUUGAGGCGGAGUUAUUAAUUGUUGAGAUACCUUUCCUCGUUGAGCAUUCCCAUUCAUUUUAUUAUUGUUGAAAUUCUUGUACACACUGUGGUUGAUCCAUGAGCUAUUUGUUAUGAAAAUAUUAAAUUGUUCGUCUCUUCCAUGACUUCGUGCUUGUUUGCUACUUGCCUUAACUGUUUUACUUGCACACCUUAAUUGUCACAUGAUUUACUUGUCCUGUUCUUUUGUAAUAUUUGUUGCAUUCCUUUGAUUAUUACGUGGUUCCUUUAUUGCCUUGCACUCAUACCCUCUGAUUGUAGAGAUUCUUGUAAAUUGAGUUAUUGGAUUGUCUAUGUUAAUUGAAAUUGUUUGUGGAUCGGGUUGCAUGUCGCAACGGGGAAUAAAUGAUUAUAAAUUGAAAUGGUGGAAUAAGGGAGGAUUAUGAUAUUUAAAAAUAAUGAUAUGGUGGGAUCGGGUUGCGCUGUGCAACGGUUUGUGUACGUAAUAAUUGAUGUUGAUAAAUGAUAAUAUGGUGGAAUAAUGGAGGAUUAUGAUGUUGAUAAAUGAUGAUAUGAUGGGAUUAGGUUGUGCGCCGCAAUGGAUUGUUUACGUUACACUUGAUAUUGAUAAAGGAUGUUAUGAUGGGAUCAGGUUGUGCGUCGCAAAGAAUUGUGUGUGUUGUACUGGUUAUUGUUGUUGUUGUUCUGAUAGUUUCAACAUUUUUAUAUGAGAUUACGAGAUUUGUUAUUCUGGGCUUUCUGAUAGUGAGGUUUGAAUUCAUUUUCAUAAACUAACUACUUUACUUUAAUUUCUUGUUUUAUUUCCUUGUUCUUAUUAUUAAAUUGCGUGAAUUCACUAUAUUAUAUUCUGUUGAGUUAUUGGUAACAUAAUAGUUUAAAUAAAAAUAUUAUUAACAUACUUUAUUCUAUGUGCCUCUUCAAAAUAGAACACGCUAUCUCACUCGGUGCCUUAUUAUUCUAAAUGGUUAUCGAACUUUCACUAUAAUUGAGUUCUCAAAUUAUACUCAGCACCCUGUUAGAUGUUUAUCUUGCUUAAAAUUAUUAUCAUGCUUUUCCUUAACGAAUUCUAUAUUUAAUUUGUUAAUUUAACUUAUAUUUUGUUUUGUUUAAAAAUGAUACUUUUACUCAAUUUUAUUAAUUUCUAAACUAAACCCAUUUUAUACUAUGUUUUGUACAAAUUGUAUAUUAUUUUACUUUACUUGAUUUCUAAAAUAAAUUAAUAAUUUUAUUUGACACCUUACUUUAUUCAAGAUUGUUAUUAUAUUUUAUGGUGUUUAAAUAUAUCUUCCGUUCAUCUAAAUUGGUUGCAAAGUACAUGAUAACACGUGGGCUUGGUCGUGCGAAGGUGAUUGUUAUUGUGCGCACGAGGUGCCAUAUGUGUAAGAUUUAAAAAUUAUGGUCCAUGACUUGUGGUUUAUGAGAUGUGGUACCGGAGGGUAAUUCUUGUUGUAAGUCCAUGCGUUGGGAGCGAUUUGAUUAUUUGAGUUGUCAUCCAUUUUUCCUUAUUUGAGUUCAUUUACAUCUCAUCGAUGUUCUGAUUAUGUUGUUUCUUUAUUACUCGUUUACUACUUGCUGCCAUUUAUAUUUCUAUUACUUCAUUGUUGGUUGUAAAUCAAUAAUUUUUUCGUCGCUGGUGUUACAUUGAUUUUCUUUCCAUUGUUAGCUUAUGUAUAUCUGGAGCAGGUUUUUAUGUCUAGUAGAGGUCUUGACCUGGCCUCGUCAUUACUCUACCGAGGUUAGGCUUGAUACUUACUAGGUACCGUUAUGGUAUACUCAUGCUACGCUUUUGCACAUUUUUGUGCAGAUCCAAGUAUUCUGAUUGUAUUGUUGAGAGUUGCGUCUGCGCGGCGGGAGACUUCAAGGUAUACCUGCUUGACGUUCGCAGGCCUUGGAGUCACAAUCUUACUUCAUUAUGUUACUUUUAAAUUGUAAUUGAAAAUAAUAUUGUGUUUAAAAAUUCUAGUGUGUUUUAGUAGUGCUUAUUACUCCGUACUACAUGUUUUGGGAAAUGUAUAACUAUUGGUCGCUUGCGGCUAUGUAUGUCAUUUAAUAAUUUAUGAUAAAUGAUUAAAUAGUUCAAUUCUGUUAUUAAA